ACAGUUCCUCGUAGUUUUGACCUGCUGAAACGGAGAAAAUUGCAAUUGGGUGGAGAAAAGAUUUGAUCAAAUGGCUUCUAGAACCAGUAGCAAGAUUUCAGUGAAUUUAUGUUGAAUAUUCUUGGCACAAAAAAUGCCAACAGGUCUGGCUGUGUUCAAGGAUGAGUCAAAUCUACAUUGUAUUUGAUUGGACAUUCCUAACAUUUUGAAAUGGUGAAUAUAUUAUAUUAUAUAUAUAUUGUCAAAGACAAAAAAAGAUCCUUUCCCUAAGGGUGUGUCUGAAUGGGUAUCUAACAACUGAUCUCCAGCAGUUAAUAUUAUGUCCUAAUGUUUGUUACCAAUGGCAUUGAAUUCAAUUUUAUCAGUUUAUAUGUGAUGGCAACUUACAAAACAAAGCCAAACAGACAAAAGCAGAUUUUGAAUAAGAUUUUCAGACUUACAGUUGGAAGGGUGUGGUUUUCUUGUUUGUUUUUUUCCUCACAGACGAUAUUUUGUUUGUUAUAAAAUGAAGUUUCAGUUGCUUCAAACUGUUCAUGAAUUUAUUUAUUGAGUAGUUUAAGAUGGAUGAAUUACAGAUGUAAAUCGCUGUUGUUCCUUAACUGAAGAAUCUUUCAGGGGGAAGAAAUAGCUGAAUUGACCCAAAAGAGAAGUGCAACUGCUUUAUUCUUUAUUUUUGCAUGGUGUGGAAGGGUAUGAAGGAUUCAAGAUGGGCAGUUCUGUGCUCUGGUGGCUGCUGCUCCUCACAUGCAGCCCUCUCCUCACAGAGACCAAACACAGGAAUGGGAAAUUGAGCAGUCAGUGCUGAAUGCGUGUGAUUUUGAGCCAUUAGGUAAAAAUGAUUGGGGAUUAUCCAUCUCUUCCUCUUUGCUUCAUUAUUUGUGACUGGUACUACAAAGGUUUGUUUCAGUUGAAAUGUUUUGAUUCUCCGUGAUGUCUUUCUUCCACCUGAAGAGGAAAAACUGGGAUGGGGGAAGGCAUGGGAACAGUUAAAUUCAGAGCCUGAUUUUUUGUUUUUAAAGGAGAUAAAACCUCUUAAAAUGGUUCACUUCAGAGACUGAACAUACUUUUCUAUGCAAAUGUGGUAUUUUUAUACCUAAAAAAAAAGGAAAAUCUUUUCUUGAUGGCAGUCAGUUAGUCAUAUAUGUUGUGUGCUUUAUAUAAAAGUAUAACCACAUGUUAUUUGCCACUUUUAUGCAUGCAUCAAAAUAAAUUUACAUGGGAACCU
This 1225-nucleotide long non-coding RNA is filed under the name Gallus gallus (chicken). Its description in RNAcentral is "lncRNA (ENSGALG00010025683.1)". The record is from RNAcentral. Lineage: Eukaryota; Metazoa; Chordata; Aves; Galliformes; Phasianidae.